AAUGGCUCCUCGCGUGGCGCUAUCUCAGCCAACUCCCCCAGGACGGAAACGUAGCAAGGGUAACUGGGCUCUGGUGGGUGCGCGAGGAGUUUUACUU
Molecule: non-coding RNA, 97 nt
Organism: Cryobacterium arcticum
Lineage: Bacteria; Bacillati; Actinomycetota; Actinomycetes; Micrococcales; Microbacteriaceae
Source: Rfam